GCAGUGGGGAAUAUUGCACAAUGGGCGCAAGCCUGAUGCAGCCAUGCCGCGUGUAUGAAGAAGGCCUUCGGGUUGUAAAGUACUUUCAGCGGGGAGGAAGGGGACGAGGUUAAUAACCUCGUUCAUUGACGUUACCCGCAGAAGAAGCACCGGCUAACUCCGUGCCAGCAGCCGCGGUAAUACGGAGGGUGCAAGCGUUAAUCGGAAUUACUGGGCGUAAAGCGCACGCAGGCGGUCUGUUAAGUCAGAUGUGAAAUCCCCGGGCUUAACCUGGGAACUGCAUUUGAAACUGGCAGGCUUGAGUCUUGUAGAGGGGGGUAGAAUUCCAGGUGUAGCGGUGAAAUGCGUAGAGAUCUGGAGGAAUACCGGUGGCGAAGGCGGCCCCCUGGACAAAGACUGACGCUCAGGUGCGAAAGCGUGGGGAGCAAACAGGAUUAGA
Molecule: ribosomal RNA, 439 nt
Filed under: uncultured bacterium
Lineage: Bacteria
Description: bacterial SSU rRNA
Rfam family: Bacterial small subunit ribosomal RNA
Source: RNAcentral